This 252-nucleotide ribosomal RNA is filed under the name uncultured bacterium. RNAcentral's name for it is "partial 16S ribosomal RNA". It matches the Rfam family "Bacterial small subunit ribosomal RNA", at positions 524 to 775 of the family's 1533-position model. The record is from RNAcentral.
UACGUAGGGUGCAAGCGUUAAUCGGAAUUACUGGGCGUAAAGCGUGCGCAGGCGGUGAUGUAAGACAGAUGUGAAAUCCCCGGGCUCAACCUGGGAACUGCAUUUGUGACUGCAUCGCUGGAGUGCGGCAGAGGGGGAUGGAAUUCCGCGUGUAGCAGUGAAAUGCGUAGAUAUGCGGAGGAACACCGAUGGCGAAGGCAAUCCCCUGGGCCUGCACUGACGCUCAUGCACGAAAGCGUGGGGAGCAACAGG